Molecule: ribosomal RNA, 2030 nt
Filed under: human gut metagenome
Description: bacterial LSU rRNA
Rfam family: Bacterial large subunit ribosomal RNA
Source: RNAcentral
AAUCGAACCCGGAGAUAGCUGGUUCUCCUCGAAAUAGCUUUAGGGCUAGCCUCAUGGAUCAUUGAUGGGGGUAGAGCACUGAAUGUGCGCGGGGGCCACAAAGCCUACCAAACGCUAUCAAACUUCGAAUACCAUACAAUGCAGACCAUGGGAGUCAGUCCGCGAGAGAUAAGUUCCGCGGGCAAAAGGGGAACACCCCAGAUCAACCGCUAAGGUCCCCAAGUUCACGUUAAGUGGAGAAGGAUGUGGAAUUGCACAGACAACCAGGAUGUUGGCUCAGAAGCAGCCACACAUUUAAAGAGUGCGUAAUAGCUCACUGGUCGAGUGAUUGUGCGCCGAAGAUGUCCGGGGCUAAACGUGACACCGAAGCGAUGGGUGCAUCUGAAAGGAUGCGCGGUAGAGGAGCAAUGUGCAGAGGCAGAAGCCGUAUCGAGAGGCACGGUGGACACUGCACAAGAGAGAAUGCCGGUAUGAGUAGCGAGAGGCAUGCGAGAAACAUGCCCGUCGAAAGCCCAAGGUUUCCUGGGGAAGGUUCAUCCGCCCAGGGUAAGUCGGGGCCUAAGCCGAGGACGGAAGUCGUAGGCGAUGGACAGCAGGUGUAGAUUCCUGCACUACCGAUGGAAUGAAGCAGUGACACAGAAGGAUAACUCGAGCAGGGUGAUGGUCAACCCUGUGCAAGCAUCAAGGUUGGGUUGUAGUGAAGUACGCAAUCCUAUAAGCUGAGGUGUGAUGCGGACCGAAAUUUCAGUAGGGAAGCGAGUGAGUUCACGCUGGCGAGAAAAGCUGCUAGUACAUCCAAAGGUACCCGUACCGGAAACCGACGCAGGUGGGCGAGGAGAGAAUCCUGAGACGAACGGGAGAACCCUUGUUAAGGAACUCGGCAAAAUGACCCCGUAACUUCGGGAUAAGGGGUGCCUGCGAGAGCAGGCCGCAGAGAAUAGUCACAAGCGACUGUUUAGCAAAAACACAGGUAUCUGCGAAAGCGAGAGCUGACGUAUAGGUGCUGACACCUGCCCGGUGCUGGAAGGUUAAGGGAACAUGUUAGAGCAAUCGAAGCAUCGAACCGAAGCCCCAGUAAACGGCGGCCGUAACUAUAACGGUCCUAAGGUAGCGAAAUUCCUUGUCGGGUAAGUUCCGACCCGCACGAAUGGUGUAACGACUUGUGAGCUGUCUCAACAGGGGGCCCGGUGAAAUUGAAGUAUGGGUGAAGAUGCCCAUUACCCGCGACUGGACGGAGAGACCCCGUAGAGCUUUACUGCAGCCUGAUAUUGAGUUUCGGUAACUGAUGCACAGGAUAGGUGGGAGUCUGAGAGACAUGGGUUUCGGCUCAUGUGGAGACGGUGUUGGGAUACCACUCUUCGGUUACUGAAAUUCUAACAUAGCUCUGUGAAACCAGAGGAUGGACAGUGUCAGGUGGACAGUUUGACUGGGGCGGUCGCCUCCGAAAGAGUAACGGAGGCGCCCAAAGGUACCCUCAGAAUGGAUGGAAACCAUUCGAAGAGCGCAAAGGCAGAAGGGUGCCUGACUGCGAGAGUGACAACUCGAGCAGAGACGAAAGUCGGGCUUAGUGAUCCGGCGGUAUUGAGUGGAAAAGCCGUCGCUUAACGGAUAAAAGCUACCUCGGGGAUAACAGGCUGAUCUCCCCCAAGAGUCCACAUCGACGGGGAGGUUUGGCACCUCGAUGUCGGCUCAUCGCAUCCUGGGGCUGUAUUCGGUCCCAAGGGUUUGGCUGUUCGCCAAUUAAAGCGGCACGCGAGCUGGGUUCAGAACGUCGUGAGACAGUUCGGUCCCUAUCCAUCGUGGGCGUAGGAGUCAUGAGAGGAGCUGUUCCUAGUACGAGAGGACCGGAAUGGACGCACCACUGGUGCAACUGUUGUCGUGCCAACGGCAUAGCAGGGAAGCGAAGUGCGGACGGGAUAAACGCUGAAGGCAUCUAAGCGUGAAGCCCACCUCAAGAAUAAGACUCCACAAUAGACCCCUGGAGGACUACCAGGUAGAUAGGUCAUCGGUGGAAGCGCUGUAAGGCGUGU